This 253-nucleotide ribosomal RNA is filed under the name uncultured bacterium. RNAcentral describes it as "partial 16S ribosomal RNA". It matches the Rfam family "Bacterial small subunit ribosomal RNA", at positions 524 to 776 of the family's 1533-position model. The record is from RNAcentral.
UACGGAGGGUGCGAGCGUUAUCCGGGAUUACUGGGUUUAAAGGGCGCGUAGGCGGCUGUGUAAGUCAGGAGUGAAAGUUUGCGGCUCAACCGUAAAAUUGCUUUUGAUACUGCACGGCUGGAAUCAGGAUGAGGUCAGCGGAAUGUGGCAUGUAGCGGUGAAAUGCAUAGAUAUGCCAUAGAACACCAAUUGCGAAGGCAGCUGGCUAGACCUGUAUUGACGCUGAGGCACGAAAGCGUGGGGAGCGAACAGG